ACGGCUCAGUAACACGUGGAUAACUUACCCUUAGGAUCGGGAUAAUCCUGGGAAACUGGGGCUAAUACUGAAUAGACAAUUUUUUCUGGAAUGGUUGUUUUGUUUAAAUGUUUUUUUUCGCCUGAGGAUAGGUCUGCGGCCGAUUAGGUUGUUGGUAAGGUAAUGGCUUACCAAGCCAGUUAUCGGUACGGGUUGUGAGAGCAAGGGCCUGGAGAUGGAACCUGAGACAAGGUUCCAGACCCUACGGGGUGCAGCAGGCGCGAAACCUCCGCAAUGUGAGAAAUCGCGACGGGGGGAUCCCAAGUGUCAUUCUUAAAGGGAUGACUUUUCAUUUGUGUAAAAAGCUUUUGGAAUAAGAGCUGGGCAAGACUGGUGCCAGCCGCCGCGGUAACACCAGCAGCUCGAGUGGUGGCCAUUUUUAUUGGGCCUAAAGCGUUCGUAGCCAGUUUUUUAAGUCUUUGGUGAAAGUCUAUAGCUUAACUGUAGGAAUUGCUGGGGAUACUAUUGAACUUGAGGUCGGGAGAGGUUAGAGGUACUCCCAGGGUAGGGGUGAAAUCCUGUAAUCCUGGGAGGACCACCUGUGGCGAAGGCGUCUAACUGGAACGAACCUGACGGUGAGGGACGAAAGCUAGGGGCGCGAACCGGAUUAGAUACCCGGGUAGUCCUAGCUGUAAACGAUGCGGACUUGGUGUUGGGAUGGCUUUGAGUUGUUUCAGUGCCAAAGGGAAGCUGUUAAGUCCGUCGCCUGGGAAGUACGGUCGCAAGACUGAAACUUAAAGGAAUUGGCGGGGGAG
RNAcentral lists this ribosomal RNA (794 nucleotides) under uncultured Methanobrevibacter sp. Its description in RNAcentral is "bacterial SSU rRNA". It matches the Rfam family "Archaeal small subunit ribosomal RNA", at positions 85 to 876 of the family's 1478-position model. Lineage: Archaea; Methanobacteriati; Methanobacteriota; Methanobacteria; Methanobacteriales; Methanobacteriaceae. The record is from RNAcentral.